This 180-nucleotide ribosomal RNA is filed under the name Helicobacter pylori. RNAcentral's name for it is "partial 16S ribosomal RNA". It matches the Rfam family "Bacterial small subunit ribosomal RNA", at positions 1353 to 1533 of the family's 1533-position model. Lineage: Bacteria; Pseudomonadati; Campylobacterota; Epsilonproteobacteria; Campylobacterales; Helicobacteraceae. The record is from RNAcentral.
CAUGUUGCGGUGAAUACGUUCCCGGGUCUUGUACUCACCGCCCGUCACACCAUGGGAGUUGUGUUUGCCUUAAGUCAGGAUGCUAAAUUGGCUACUGCCCACGGCACACACAGCGACUGGGGUGAAGUCGUAACAAGGUAACCGUAGGUGAACCUGCGGUUGGAUCACCUCCUUUCUAGA